UAUGAAGUGCAGAGCCAUUGCAAGCGAGAAAAAUCAGCCGGCAUUUUCGAAGCAAAAGUAAACAAGUUAAAUAGUAAAUACGAAAGUGACAGCUUUCCUAGAUCGAAAAGAUUUCGCAAUAUUUAUAUUCUGCUUUGGAAAAAGGAGAAAGCGAAUAAUGGACGAUCGUGGACGCGUGCUCCGGAUAGAAACGACAGGCAUCCGACAGGACGCAGGAUUCUACAGGCUUUCCUUUGGCAUCCGUAUGCUUCAACAACACUCGCAGUUGCAGAGAAUCAGUCGGAAUCUGCAAUCUGGCGUAUUGACCUAGCAGCCUUUAGACAUACUAAUCAGGACUCGAUAAGCAAACUGACCGCGGCGUAUCAGUAGAUUGACAGUAAAUUGAAUUGGCAGAAAUUCCCGCAAAUCGAUUAUAAUGUCCGCAUUAAGCUUAUGUUCUGCAGAGCCUGCUAACAUAACUCGAUGGUAGAACUGAAGGCAGAAACUGGGUAGAAUCUGUUGAAUGCGGAUUCUGCUCUAUUUCUGCUGUUAAUUUGUAUACAAUUAUGCAGUAAGUAUAUCAAAGAGUUUACCUGAUUUCUGCAGUCAAUCUGUCAUCAUAUUUUGGUCAAACUUUACUGUAUUUCUGUCAGAGUUCUGUCUACAGUAUUGUAUACACUAGAUCCUGUAUCAGAUUGGUAGCUUGUUUUUUUUUUUUUAAUAGAUUUGACCAUGUGAAGAAUUUUACUAUGUGCGUAUCUUAUUGUGCAAUGGGAGGUUGCUAAGCAUAAAACUUAACUGCUGCAUCUUAAUUUUAUCCUACAUUUUCAUAUGAAUUGAUGGCACAUAAAAAAGUUAUGAAUCUGGAAGGUGUUAAUUGCAUCACGGUGUUACGUUUGCAUAUUAAGCCUGUGAUACAUAGCAAAAAAUUUAUCCUGGAUCUCUCAGUUCGAUGUUACCAAACUUAGACAAAGAAACUAGACUCGGGAAAUUUGUAAACGGAGCAAAAUACUGAAGUGGCACUGAAGAUAUUCAACAAUGGCUACUGUGCUAGAUACAUUUGAAGUUUCUUAUAAUCAGUGAAAUGAAUAGAAGAUCACGAAGCAGCUGUUUGAAAGUAAAGGAAGGCCAGAGUUCAGAAUGUGUACCAAAAGAAAAUAAUAAUAAUGAUAAAAAUCUAAAGAUACAUACAAGAUCUUAUUAAUCAUCUAAGAUUUUAUGUGGAAAGACAUAUAUGGAUAACAAUCGUUACCAAAAAUAAGAGAUUCCAGCAUAAUCUUUUAUUUACCGAGUGGAAAGAGCAAUAAACUGUAAAAGUCGGAAACUCUUUGAAAGGCUUUGGAUAUUUCAUCUUUGACGUGCUUCUAAACGCAAUUGUGAUUCAUUAUUCGUAAAUAAAUAAAUAACCAACAAAAUAGGCAGAAAAAAUGAAGAUAAAUCUAAAAAUUUAUAAGGGACGUUGUUUACCUUUAUGAUUUACAUGAAAACUCUCGUGAUUGCAAUUUAUCGUGCUACAAUGUCAAAAAAUUUAUUUAAAUUGUUUAAAUAGAUUUUGAAGAGCGUAACGUUGAGAGAUCGAUAAAUUAACUCCAAUAAGGGAAAUAUUUUAAUCUUUCAUCCCGAAUUGUAAAACAAAUUAUAUGAAUAAUACAUCAUCGAUGCAACCAUUUAUUUCACAGUCACUGUCCAUUUCGUAUUUAUGGGUACAAUAAAACUGAUAAAUACGACAUAAAAAUUCUAAUAAUGAAUAAUGCGAAAACUUUAUUACAUUGUUACAACAAUAGAAUUCAUGAAUCAUUCACACAUUCGCGCACACGAAAUGAAGAAUAUGAGUUUAAUGAACUUAUUGUGUUUAAAAAUAUAACAUGAAAACAGGAAAUUGAUAAAGCUGUGUGAAUUACAAAACGAAUCGUGAUACAUCUAUAUAAAUAGCGUUUUCGACUGACAUAAAUUUGACCCAUGACCAAGGCCCAACCCGAGUUGGGUUAAUGACAUCACAUGCUGGAAUCGUCCGAUUAAAACCUGGAAGUAGAACGUGAUCGUUAUUAACUCUUCUCGGAUUGGACUUUGGUCAUGGGUCAAAUUCAUGCCGGCCAAAACGCUGUAAGAUAACAUCUUAAAAUCAAUUUUAAAGUCUGCUUAAAAUUGAAACUCCUAAAGGUUUGUUUUUUUAACUUCGAGUCGAUUACUCCGUACUGACUGAACAUAACGAAUAUUAAUAUAACACAGAACAGACGAAAUAGGAUGUAACAAUGUGACAAAUGCAAUAUAUUUAGUGCAUAAGGAAAGUUCAAGUAGCCAUUCGAAUCUGUUCCACCGUAUUAUUCGCAUAAACUCUUGUUGACUGUUCACAGAAUAAAUAAAAACAUAAUCUGUAAUAGUUGUUUUUCAUCCAUGUGAUCUAUUCGAAUAAAACAAGAUUUUCAACUUAA
Molecule: long non-coding RNA, 2411 nt
Organism: Temnothorax curvispinosus
Lineage: Eukaryota; Metazoa; Arthropoda; Insecta; Hymenoptera; Formicidae
Exons: 4
Source: RefSeq, a predicted model, not a curated record